CAGCAGCCACGGGAAUACGGAGGGUGCAAGCGUUAAUCGGAAUUACUGGGCGUAAAGCGCACGCAGGCGGUUUGUUAAGUCAGAUGUGAAAUCCCCGAGCUUAACUUGGGAACUGCAUUUGAAACUGGCAAGCUAGAGCCUUGUAGAGGGGGGUAGAAUUCCAGGUGUAGCGGUGAAAUGCGUAGAGAUCUGGAGGAAUACCGGUGGCGAAGGCGGCCCCCUGGACAAAGACUGACGCUCAGGUGCGAAAGCGUGGGGAGCAAACAGGAUUAGAGACCCGCGUAGUCCCUGUCUCUUAUAC
RNAcentral lists this ribosomal RNA (301 nucleotides) under uncultured bacterium. RNAcentral describes it as "partial 16S ribosomal RNA". It matches the Rfam family "Bacterial small subunit ribosomal RNA", at positions 509 to 807 of the family's 1533-position model. The record is from RNAcentral.